RNAcentral lists this long non-coding RNA (1970 nucleotides) under Cricetulus griseus (Chinese hamster). RNAcentral describes it as "lncRNA (ENSCGRG00000025785.1)". Lineage: Eukaryota; Metazoa; Chordata; Mammalia; Rodentia; Cricetidae. The record is from RNAcentral.
GUCAGAGUUUCUCUGUGUAACAGCCUUGGCUGUCCUGUAACAAACUCUGUAGACCAAGCUGGCUCGAACUCACAGAGAUCUGCCUGCUUCUGCCUCCCAAGGGCUGGGGUUAAAGGCUUGUGACACUAUGCCCUGCAUGAAUAUAUUAUACAAGAACCCCAAAUUUUUCACAGCCAGUAAGGUAGAAUUCACAAUGUCUGACAUCCAAUCAAAGAUUAUCAGGCAUACAAAUGGCAAGAAUACGCAAGCCAUGAUUUCAGACAUUUAUGAGUUAACUUGAGGCAGAAGGCUUUAUAAAAACAAGGGCUAAGUCAAUUCAGUAAAUUGAUCUCUAGCACCAUCUUCUUGGGUGAGCUGGAGCCAGACAGGUCCUGGUACUUCUUCCAUGAGAAUCCUCAAAGUAACCCCAUCUCAGUGUAGGUAAACCUUUCUUCUCAUCUCCUGCAGUGCUCACUCUACCUGUACCUGUAAUCCCUGAGCACGAACCACCUGUUUAUCUCGUGUUCUACAGCAUCUGAAGACAUGAGAAGCGCCACCUUCAAGUGAACGUCACCAACCCGGUGCAGUGCAGCCUGCAUGGAAAGAAAUGCACCGUCUCUGUGGAGACCCGGCUUAAUCAGCCACAGCCUGACUUCACCAAGAACCGCUCUGGCUUCAUCCUCAGUGUGCCAGGGAACUGACGGAUGCACAUCAGAGCCAUGCCUCCUCUUCACCGCAGAACUGGGACUUGUGGGGAGCCAGAGCACACAGGACCCAGCUGUGGGAGGUGGGACAAAGCUGCAGCAAAGAGCGUGGAGUCCUGGCACUGCAGGCCAGGCCAGGGAGCCCACCUACGCCACACACCUGCCUGCUGGAGCCUGGCCCCUGAACCCCGCUGGGAAAGAGCUGCCAGCUUGCCUGUGUCUGCCCAGUGAAGAGCAUGCCUGUUCCGGAGGCCUUCCUGAGACCCCUGUCCAGCCUCAGUGCGGAGGAUGUGAGGCCUGUGGGCUGUGCAGGCUUGCUGUGAGAGCCUAACACGGAAGGCUGAGAGUGGACAACCGGCAGGAGCAGCAGGGCUUACAGAGCCAGGCUCACAUUCUCCUCACCUUGCCACCCUAACCCACCAAGUGUCUGUGUGUCACCUCCUCACGCCUCGCCCAGGACUUGAGGGAGUCACCUGGCUGACCAAGGUGGUUCUAGCCCCCCCCCCAUAACCCCUUUUGCAGAGCUGUGGGCCUUUUAUACUGUGGGCAGUUUGCAACAAAGACUCCAGUUGCCAUGCUGUCCUCAGGAGCCUUUCUCAUCCUCCAUGCUUGGUCAGCUGCCUGUGCAGUGCGGAGGUGCCGCCGGCCUGGUUUUGCCAAUCACCAGUGGACGCUGACAGCCAUCUGACGGGAACGUCACCUUUUUUUCCCACGUCUUCCCCCAGCAUGUUGCUUUAAAGUAGACGUGCUCGAGUGUGUUCAUGCACACCAAAGCAGGUCAUGCCAAAGGAGUCGCAGAUCGGAGGCUGGGGUGGGAGCUCUCCUCUCACCUUCUGAUAGCCUGGGACCCCUGACCCAGGCCAGAACCUCCCACCGAGGAACUGCCUUGCCCACAAGCACUUUCUUAUGGCCUAAAAGUCUGUGUGGCCACUGAGGGGCCUGGAAUCUGGGACGUAAUGGUCACAGUGAGGGAAGGCAUGGGACAUAGUGAUUGUGUGCAUGGAGUGCUGUCUCCAUUUAAUGCAAUGCAGUGUGUGGUUUGGUGCACAUAUUCCUGUUUUCCAUUAAAUUAACUUUAUUUCUAAAGCAUAUUUUGAUUUACCGUCAAGAGCAAUAAAGCAUUAAAUCUUAUUUUUAAAGGCAUACUGUUUAUCAUUGAAAAAUGGUGAAAUUUUAGCUUAUAUAGUCUACUGUCAUCCCAGAAGGUAGAAGCACGCACAAAUUAGGGAAGAUAUGGGUAAUUUGCCCAAGGCCUUUGAACAGAAAAGUUAGGGAGUGAGAAGCAAG